AACUUUCAACAACGGAUCUCUUGGUUCUCGCAUCGAUGAAGAACGCAGCGAAAUGCGAUAAGUAAUGUGAAUUGCAGAAUUCCGUGAAUCAUCGAAUCUUUGAACGCACAUUGCGCCCUUAGGUAUUCCUGAGGGCAUGCCUGUUCGAGCGUCA
Molecule: ribosomal RNA, 154 nt
Filed under: Tuber oligospermum
Lineage: Eukaryota; Fungi; Ascomycota; Pezizomycetes; Pezizales; Tuberaceae
Description: 5.8S ribosomal RNA
Rfam family: 5.8S ribosomal RNA
About the family: 5.8S ribosomal RNA (5.8S rRNA) is a component of the large subunit of the eukaryotic ribosome. It is transcribed by RNA polymerase I as part of the 45S precursor that also contains 18S and 28S rRNA.
Source: RNAcentral